This 91-nucleotide ribosomal RNA is filed under the name Microcebus murinus (gray mouse lemur). The record is from RNAcentral. Lineage: Eukaryota; Metazoa; Chordata; Mammalia; Primates; Cheirogaleidae.
AUCUACAGCCAUGCCACCUGACCGCGCCCGAUCUUGUCUGAUCUCGGAAGCUAAGCAGGAUCGGGCCUGGUUAGUACUUGGAUGGGAGAUG